Molecule: long non-coding RNA, 324 nt
Filed under: Ananas comosus (pineapple)
Lineage: Eukaryota; Viridiplantae; Streptophyta; Magnoliopsida; Poales; Bromeliaceae
Description: long non-coding RNA (ACOM_LNC002821)
Source: RNAcentral
UUUAGCUGGCUCGUUAAAUUAUCGAGUCGAAAAAUUCAGCUCGUGUUUGGCUUGUUUAUUAACAAGCCAAACAUAAGCUGGCUCACGAGAUGAUCAACGAACAAUAAGUUAAAUGAAUUGGAUUCGAUAUAUAUAAUUUUUUUUUUUUUUUGAGAAAUAGGUAGCAAGCUACCUGUUUCAUUCAUAAAGCAAGAUGAAUUAAACGUACAAGGUUGAGACAGCUUAGGCCUCCGAGUCCAAAAAGUUAAGUACAGAAAAAGUUUAAAAUAAUAAAAUAAAAAUAGAAAUAAAAAAAGAGAGGGAGAGCUGGAGAAGGUAGGGGGG